This 258-nucleotide ribosomal RNA is filed under the name uncultured prokaryote. RNAcentral describes it as "partial 16S ribosomal RNA". It matches the Rfam family "Bacterial small subunit ribosomal RNA", at positions 524 to 780 of the family's 1533-position model. The record is from RNAcentral.
UACGGAGGAUGCGAGCGUUAUCCGGAUUUAUUGGGUUUAAAGGGUGCGUAGGCGGCCUUGUAAGUCAGCGGUGAAAUUUUGCAGCUUAACUGUAAAAGUGCCGUUGAUACUGUGAGGCUAGGAUUUGGUUGCUGUGGGUGGAAUGCGUGGUGUAGCGGUGAAAUGCUUAGAGAUCACACAGAAUAUCGAUUGCGAAGGCAGCUCACAAAGCCAAGAUUGACGCUGAGGCACGAAAGUGUGGGGAGUCAAACAGGAUUA